GUGCCAGCAGCCGCGGUAAGACGAACCGUGCGAACGUUGUUCGGAAUCACUGGGCUUAAAGGGCGCGUAGGCGGGCCGCCGCGUCCGGGGUGAAAUCCCCCCGCUCAACGGGGGAACGGCCUCGGAUACGGGCGGCCUGGAGGCGGGUAGGGGCACGCGGAACUGUGGGUGGAGCGGUGAAAUGCGUUGAGAUCCACAGGAACUCCGGUGGCGAAGGCGGCGUGCUGGACCCGUCCUGACGCUGAGGCGCGAAAGCCAGGGGAGCGAACGGGAUUAGAUACCCCUGUAGUCC
Molecule: ribosomal RNA, 292 nt
Filed under: uncultured bacterium
Lineage: Bacteria
Description: partial 16S ribosomal RNA
Rfam family: Bacterial small subunit ribosomal RNA
Source: RNAcentral